Molecule: ribosomal RNA, 497 nt
Filed under: uncultured bacterium
Lineage: Bacteria
Description: partial 16S ribosomal RNA
Rfam family: Bacterial small subunit ribosomal RNA
Source: RNAcentral
GAUGAACGCUGGCGGCGUGCCUAAUACAUGCAAGUCGAGCGAACGGACGAGAAGCUUGCUUCUCUUAUUUUAGCGUCGGACGGGUGAGUAACACGUGGAGAACCUACCUAUAAGACUGGGAUAACUUCGGGAAACCGGAGCUAAUACCGGAUUAUAUUUUGAACCGCAUGGUUCAAAAGUUAAAGACGGUCUUGCUGUCACUUAUACAUGGAUCCGCGCUGCAUUAGCUAGUUGGUAAGGUAACGGCUUACCAAGGCAACGAUGCAUAGCCGACCUGAGAGGGUGAUCGGCCACACUGGAACUGAGACACGGUCCAGACUCCUACGGGAGGCAGCAGUAGGGAAUAUUCCGCAAUGGGCGAAAGCCUGACGGAGCAACGCCGCGUGAGUGAUGAAGGUCUUCGGAUCGUAAAACUCUGUUAUUAGGGAAGAACAUAUGUGUAAGUAACUGUGCACAUCUUGACGGUACCUAAUCAGAAAGCCACGGCUAACUACGUG